AGUGAACGCUGGCGGCAGGCCUAACACAUGCAAGUCGAGCGGCAGCGCGUCCGACCACCCUCGGGUGGUCGGAUGGCGGCGAGCGGCGGACGGGUGAGGAAUGCAUCGGAAUCUGCCUCGUUGUGGGGGAUAACGUAGGGAAACUUACGCUAAUACCGCAUACGACCUACGGGUGAAAGUGGGGGACCUUCGGGCCUCACGCGAUGAGAUGGGCCGAUGCCGGAUUAGCUAGUUGGCGGGGUAAAGGCCCACCAAGGCGACGAUCCGUAGCUGGUCUGAGAGGAUGAUCAGCCACACUGGAACUGAGACACGGUCCAGACUCCUACGGGAGGCAGCAGUGGGGAAUAUUGGACAAUGGGGGCAACCCUGAUCCAGCCAUGCCGCGUGUGUGAAGAAGGCCUUCGGGUUGUAAAGCACUUUUGUUGGGGAAGAAACCGGCCGGGUUAAUACCCUGGUUGAAUGACGGUACCCAAAGAAUAAGCACCGGCUAACUUCGUGCCAGCAGC
Molecule: ribosomal RNA, 506 nt
Filed under: uncultured bacterium
Lineage: Bacteria
Description: bacterial SSU rRNA
Rfam family: Bacterial small subunit ribosomal RNA
Source: RNAcentral